GAAGGUAUAACUCAGUGGUAGAGUGUGUGCUUAGCAUGCACAAGGUCCUGGGUUCAAUCCCCAGUAUCUCCA
Molecule: transfer RNA, 72 nt
Filed under: Camelus bactrianus (Bactrian camel)
Lineage: Eukaryota; Metazoa; Chordata; Mammalia; Artiodactyla; Camelidae
Also listed under: 2 other names
Rfam family: tRNA
About the family: Transfer RNA (tRNA) molecules are approximately 80 nucleotides in length. Their secondary structure includes four short double-helical elements and three loops (D, anti-codon, and T loops). Further hydrogen bonds mediate the characteristic L-shaped molecular structure. tRNAs have two regions of fundamental functional importance: the anti-codon, which is responsible for specific mRNA codon recognition, and the 3' end, to which the tRNAs corresponding amino acid is attached (by aminoacyl-tRNA synthetases). tRNAs cope with the degeneracy of the genetic code in two manners: having more than one tRNA (with a specific anti-codon) for a particular amino acid; and 'wobble' base-pairing, i.e. permitting non-standard base-pairing at the 3rd anti-codon position.
Source: Rfam by way of RNAcentral